This 497-nucleotide ribosomal RNA is filed under the name uncultured bacterium. RNAcentral's name for it is "partial 16S ribosomal RNA". It matches the Rfam family "Bacterial small subunit ribosomal RNA", at positions 28 to 507 of the family's 1533-position model. The record is from RNAcentral.
GAUGAACGCUGGCGGCGUGCCUAAUACAUGCAAGUCGAGCGAACGGACGAGAAGCUUGCUUCUCUGAUGUUAGCGGCGGACGGGUGAGUAACACGUGGAUAACCUACCUAUAAGACUGGGAUAACUUCGGGAAACCGGAGCUAAUACCGGAUAAUAUUUUGAACCGCAUGGUUCAAAAGUGAAAGACGGUCUUGCUGUCACUUAUAGAUGGAUCCGCGCUGCAUUAGCUAGUUGGUAAGGUAACGGCUUACCAAGGCAACGAUGCAUAGCCGACCUGAGAGGGUGAUCGGCCACACUGGAACUGAGACACGGUCCAGACUACUACGGGAGGCAGCAGUAGGGAAUCGUCCGCAAUGGGCGAAAGCCUUGCGGAGCAACGCCGCGUGAGUUAUGAAGGUCUUCGGAUCGUAAAACUCUGUUAUUAGGGAAAAACAUAUGUGUAAGUAACUGUGCACAUCUUGACGGUACCUAAUCAGAAAGCCACGGCUAACUACGUG